Molecule: transfer RNA, 75 nt
Filed under: Desulfobulbus sp.
Lineage: Bacteria; Pseudomonadati; Thermodesulfobacteriota; Desulfobulbia; Desulfobulbales; Desulfobulbaceae
Also listed under: 20 other names
Description: tRNA-Gly
Rfam family: tRNA
About the family: Transfer RNA (tRNA) molecules are approximately 80 nucleotides in length.
Source: RNAcentral
GCGGGAAUAGCUCAAUGGUAGAGCAUCAGCCUUCCAAGCUGAGGGUUGCGGGUUCGAGUCUCGUUUCCCGCUCCA